This 504-nucleotide ribosomal RNA is filed under the name Vibrio sp. RNAcentral describes it as "bacterial SSU rRNA". It matches the Rfam family "Bacterial small subunit ribosomal RNA", at positions 51 to 533 of the family's 1533-position model. Lineage: Bacteria; Pseudomonadati; Pseudomonadota; Gammaproteobacteria; Vibrionales; Vibrionaceae. The record is from RNAcentral.
CUACNAUGCAGUCGAGCGGAACGACAUUAUUGAUUCUUCGGAUGAUUUAAUGGGCGUCGAGCGGCGGACGGGUGAGUAAUGCCUAGGAAAUUGCCUUGAUGUGGGGGAUAACCAUUGGAAACGAUGGCUAAUACCGCAUAAUGCCUACGGGCCAAAGAGGGGGACCUUCGGACCUCUCGCGUCAAGAUAUGCCUAGGUGGGAUUAGCUAGUUGGUGAGGUAAUGGCUCACCAAGGCGACGAUCCCUAGCUGGUCUGAGAGGAUGAUCAGCCACACUGGAACUGAGACACGGUCCAGACUCCUACGGGAGGCAGCAGUGGGGAAUAUUGCACAAUGGGCGAAAGCCUGAUGCAGCCAUGCCGCGUGUAUGAAGAAGGCCUUCGGGUUGUAAAGUACUUUCAGUUGUGAGGAAGGGUGUGUAGUUAAUAGUCUGCGCAUCUUGACGUUAGCAACAGAAGAAGCACCGGCUAACUCCGUGCCAGCAACCNCGGUAAUACUCGACGGU